UACGUAGGGUGCGAGCGUUAAUCGGAAUUACUGGGCGUAAAGCGUGCGCAGGCGGUUCGUUAAGUCAGCUGUGAAAGCCCCGGGCUCAACCUGGGAAUUGCGGUUGAAACUGGCGGACUAGAAUCUGGCAGAGGGGGGUGGAAUUCCACGUGUAGCAGUGAAAUGCGUAGAGAUCGGGAGGAACACCCGUAGCGAAGGCGGCCGACUGGACCACACCUGACGCUGAGGCGCGAAGGCCAGGGGAGCGAACGGG
This 253-nucleotide ribosomal RNA is filed under the name uncultured bacterium. RNAcentral describes it as "partial 16S ribosomal RNA". It matches the Rfam family "Bacterial small subunit ribosomal RNA", at positions 524 to 776 of the family's 1533-position model. The record is from RNAcentral.